GUUCACGCUCUGAAGAGCCGCAGUGAAUAGGCCCAAGCGACUGUUUAUCAAAAACACAGGUCUCUGCUAAACCGUAAGGUGAUGUAUAGGGGCUGACGCCUGCCCGGUGCUGGAAGGUUAAGAGGAGUGGUUAGCUUCUGCGAAGCUACGAAUCGAAGCCCCAGUAAACGGCGGCCGUAACUAUAACGGUCCUAAGGUAGCGAAAUUCCUUGUCGGGUAAGUUCCGACCCGCACGAAAGGCGUAACGAUUUGGGCACUGUCUCAACGAGAGACUCGGUGAAAUCAUAGUACCUGUGAAGAUGCAGGUUACCCGCGACAGGACGGAAAGACCCCGUGGAGCUUUACUGUAGCCUGAUAUUGAAAUUCGGCACAGCUUGUACAGGAUAGGUAGGAGCCUUAGAAGCGUGAGCGCCAGCUUACGUGGAGGCGCUGGUGGGAUACUACCCUAGCUGUGUUGGAUUUCUAACCCGCGCCAUUGAUCAUGGCGGGAGACAGUGUCAGGCGGGCAGUUUGACUGGGGCGGUCGCCUCCUAAAGUGUAACGGAGGCGCUCAAAGGUUCCCUCAGAAUGGUUGGAAAUCAUUCAUAGAGUGUAAAGGCAUAAGGGAGCUUGACUGCGAGACCUACAAGUCGAGCAGGGUCGAAAGACGGACUUAGUGAUCCGGUGGUUCCGCAUGGAAGGGCCAUCGCUCAACGGAUAAAAGCUACCCCGGGGAUAACAGGCUUAUCUCCCCCAAGAGUUCACAUCGACGGGGAGGUUUGGCACCUCGAUGUCGGCUCAUCGCAUCCUGGGGCUGUAGUCGGUCCCAAGGGUUGGGCUGUUCGCCCAUUAAAGCGGUACGCGAGCUGGGUUCAGAACGUCGUGAGACAGUUCGGUCCCUAUCCGUCGUGGGCGUAGGAAAUUUGAGAGGAGCUGUCCUUAGUACGAGAGGACCGGGAUGGACAUACCUCUGGUGUACCAGUUGUCGUGCCAACGGCAUAGCUGGGUAGCUAUGUAUGGACGGGAUAAGUGCUGAAAGCAUCUAAGCAUGAAGCCCCCCUCAAGAUGAGAUUUCCCAACUUCGGUUAUAAGAUCCCUCAAAGAUGAUGAGGUUAAUAGGUUCGGGGUGGAAGCAUAGCGAUAUGUGGAGCUGACGAAUACUAAUCGAUCGAAGACUUAAUCAA
Molecule: ribosomal RNA, 1163 nt
Filed under: Staphylococcus simulans ACS-120-V-Sch1
Lineage: Bacteria; Bacillati; Bacillota; Bacilli; Caryophanales; Staphylococcaceae
Description: bacterial LSU rRNA
Rfam family: Bacterial large subunit ribosomal RNA
Source: RNAcentral